GAUGAAGAACGUAGCGAAAUGCGAUACGUAAUGUGAAUUGCAGAAUUCAGUGAAUCAUCGAGUCUUUGAACGCACAUUGCGCCCCCUGGUAUUCCGGGGGGCAUGCCUGUCCGAGCGUCAUUGCUGCCCUCAAGCCCGGCUUGUGUGUUGGGUCUCGUCCCCCUUCCCGGGGGGACGGGCCCGAAAGGCAGCGGCGGCACCGUGUCCGGUCCUCGAGCGUAUGGGGCUUUGUCACCCGCUCUGUAGGCCCGGCCGGCGCUUGCCGAUCAACCAAAACUUUUUUCCAGGUUGACCUCGGAUCAGGUAGGGAUACCCGCUGAACUUAAGCAUAUCAAUAACGGAGGA
This 345-nucleotide unclassified non-coding RNA is filed under the name soil metagenome. RNAcentral's name for it is "partial contains 5.8S ribosomal RNA, internal transcribed spacer 2, and large subunit ribosomal RNA". The stretch from base 1 to 120 matches the Rfam family "5.8S ribosomal RNA", at positions 35 to 154 of the family's 154-position model. The record is from RNAcentral.